RNAcentral lists this microRNA (21 nucleotides) under Oryza sativa (Asian cultivated rice). RNAcentral's name for it is "osa-miR5144-5p". The record is from miRBase by way of RNAcentral. Lineage: Eukaryota; Viridiplantae; Streptophyta; Magnoliopsida; Poales; Poaceae. RNAcentral also lists the same sequence under 1 other name.
UUCUUGUGCUGCUGAAGAGAC